UACGGAGGGGGCGAGCGUUAUUCGGAAUUAUUGGGCGUAAAGCGCGUGUAGGCGGUCCGGUAAGUCCGCUGUGAAAGUCGGGGGCUCAACCCUCGAAUGCCGGUGGAUACUGUCGGGCUAGAGUGCGGAAGAGGCGAGUGGAAUUCCUGGUGUAGCGGUGAAAUGCGCAGAUAUCAGGAGGAACACCAAUUGCGAAGGCAGCUCGCUGGGACGUUACUGACGCUGAGACGCGAAAGCGUGGGGAGCAAACAGG
RNAcentral lists this ribosomal RNA (253 nucleotides) under uncultured bacterium. RNAcentral's name for it is "partial 16S ribosomal RNA". It matches the Rfam family "Bacterial small subunit ribosomal RNA", at positions 524 to 776 of the family's 1533-position model. The record is from RNAcentral.